ACGGAAGGCAGCAGUGGGAAAUAUUGGGCAAUGGGGGAAACCCUGACCCAGCAACGCCGCGUGAGGGAAGAAGGUUUUCGGAUUGUAAACCUCUGUCCUAUGGGAAGAAGGAAGUGACGGUACCAUAGGAGGAAGCCCCGGCUAACUACGUGCCAGCAGCCGCGGUAAUACGUAGGGGGCGAGCGUUGUCCGGAAUUACUGGGCGUAAAGGGUGCGUAGGCGGCCUUGCAGGUCAGAUGUGAAAUACCCGUGCUUAACAUGGGGGCUGCAUUUGAAACCGUAGGGCUUGAGUGCGGAAGAGGUAAGUGGAAUUCCCGGUGUAGCGGUGAAAUGCGUAGAGAUCGGGAGGAACACCAGUGGCGAAGGCGACUUACUGGGCCGCAACUGACGCUGAGGCACGAAAGCGUGGGGAGCAAACAGGAUUAGAUACCCUGGUA
RNAcentral lists this ribosomal RNA (437 nucleotides) under uncultured bacterium. RNAcentral describes it as "bacterial SSU rRNA". It matches the Rfam family "Bacterial small subunit ribosomal RNA", at positions 341 to 792 of the family's 1533-position model. The record is from RNAcentral.